RNAcentral lists this ribosomal RNA (471 nucleotides) under uncultured bacterium. RNAcentral describes it as "bacterial SSU rRNA". It matches the Rfam family "Bacterial small subunit ribosomal RNA", at positions 28 to 534 of the family's 1533-position model. The record is from RNAcentral.
GAUGAACGCUGGCGGUAUGCUUAACACAUGCAAGUCGUACGGAAGUUUUUUAACUUUAGUGGCGGACGGGUGAGUAACACGUGAGAAUUUGCCUUUAGGAGGGGGAUAACAAUUGGAAACAAAUGCUAAUACCCCAUAUGCUUUUGAGUGAAAUGGAUUUAUCCGCCUAGAGAGAAGCUCGCGGCUGAUUAGCUUGUUGGUAAGGUAAGAGCUUACCAAGGCGACGAUCAGUAUCUGGUUUGAGAGGACGAUCAGACACACUGGAACUGAGACACGGUCCAGACUCCUACGGGAGGCAGCAGUGGGGAAUUUUCCGCAAUGGGCGAAAGCCUGACGGAGCAAUACCGCGUGAGGGAGGGAAAGCCUACUGGGUUGUAAACCUCUUUUUUCAGGGAGGAAAAAAAUGACGUGUACCUGAAGAAUAAGCAUCGGCUAACUACCGUGCCAGCAGCCGCGGUAAUGUGACUACUG